CCUACGGGAGGCUGCAGUGGGGAAUAUUGCACAAUGGGCGCAAGCCCGAUGCAGCCAUGCCGCGUGUGUGAAGAAGGCCUUCGGGUUGUAAAGCACUUUCAGCGGGGAGGAAGGCGUUAAGGUUAAUAACCUUGUCGAUUGACGUUACCCGCAGAAGAAGCACCGGCUAACUCCGUGCCAGCAGCCGCGGUAAUACGGAGGGUGCAAGCGUUAAUCGGAAUUACUGGGCGUAAAGCGCACGCAGGCGGUCUGUCAAGUCGGAUGUGAAAUCCCCGGGCUCAACCUGGGAACUGCAUUCGAAACUGGCAGGCUAGAGUCUUGUAGAGGGGGGUAGAAUUCCAGGUGUAGCGGUGAAAUGCGUAGAGAUCUGGAGGAAUACCGGUGGCGAAGGCGGCCCCCUGGACAAAGACUGACGCUCAGGUGCGAAAGCGUGGGGAGCAAACAGGAUUAGAUACCCCGGUAGUC
Molecule: ribosomal RNA, 465 nt
Filed under: uncultured Klebsiella sp.
Lineage: Bacteria; Pseudomonadati; Pseudomonadota; Gammaproteobacteria; Enterobacterales; Enterobacteriaceae
Description: bacterial SSU rRNA
Rfam family: Bacterial small subunit ribosomal RNA
Source: RNAcentral